UACGUAGGGGGCUAGCGUUGUCCGGAAUCAUUGGGCGUAAAGCGCGCGUAGGCGGCCCGGUAAGUCCGCUGUGAAAGUCCAGGGCUCAACCCUGGAAAGCCGGUGGAUACUGCCGGGCUAGAGUCCGGAAGAGGCGAGUGGAAUUCCUGGUGUAGCGGUGGAAUGCGCAGAUAUCAGGAGGAACACCGAUGGCGAAGGCAGCUUGCUGGGACGGUACUGACGCUGAGGCGCGAAAGCGUGGGGAGCGAACAGG
This 253-nucleotide ribosomal RNA is filed under the name uncultured bacterium. RNAcentral describes it as "partial 16S ribosomal RNA". It matches the Rfam family "Bacterial small subunit ribosomal RNA", at positions 524 to 776 of the family's 1533-position model. The record is from RNAcentral.